RNAcentral lists this ribosomal RNA (897 nucleotides) under Alexandrium sp. 3 TN-2020. RNAcentral describes it as "partial 28S ribosomal RNA". It matches the Rfam family "Eukaryotic large subunit ribosomal RNA", at positions 43 to 885 of the family's 3401-position model. The record is from RNAcentral. Lineage: Eukaryota; Dinophyceae; Gonyaulacales; Pyrocystaceae.
UAAGUAAGUGGUGGAAGAUGAACCAAAUGGGUUCCCUUAAGUAGUUGCGAAUGAACAAGGGGAUGCUCAGCUUGAAAAAUGGGGCCCUGGGCUUUUUGUUGUAAUUGUCAAAUGUGUUGCCAAUGGAGGUGCAGGUGAAAGCCUAUUGAAAGAAAGCGUCAAAGAGGGUGAGGUUCCUGUCUGUCAUUUGCAAUCCUCCGUGCACGGUGCAUAUUUGAUGAGUCACACUCCUUGGCAUUGGAAUGCAAAGUGGGUGGUAAAUUCCAUGGAAAGGAACAUAUAAAGUUGAGACUGAUAGCACACAAGUACCAUGCGGGAAAUAUGAAAAGGACUUUGAAAAGGGGAUUAAAAGAGUCUGCAUUUGCUGAACGGAAAGCAAACGGAAUAAUUAGGUCUUGGCAAGAUUGUUGCAUGUGCAUGCUCCGGUCAAGCAAACAUGUGGAUGUAAUGGGUCUUUCCUUGCAAGGUCAGCAUUCAUUUCUGCUAAUCAUCACCCUGGCGUCUGAAUGGUACUGCGCCUGUGGGCUGUGGAAAAUAUGCGGUUGCAAUGAUUUGUGGUUUGAUGCAUGCGCAGGGUGCUUGGCUAGUGCAUUCAUGAUGAUAAGGUAAGUUAUGUUUCCUUAUGCACAAGCAUGCCUCUGCGUAUCUGUGCUGGCAAAACAAUUCUGCUUGACCCGUCUUGAAACACGGACCAAGGAGUCUAGCAGGUGUGCAAGUUUUUAGGUGGUCAAACUUCAACGCGGAAUGAAAGUGAUGGCUGGGAUGUGUGCACCAGCAACCGACCGAUUGGAAGACAAAGGUUUGAGUUUGAGCACACCUCUUAGGACCCGAAAGAUGGUGAACUAUGCCUGAACAGAACGAAGUCAGAGGAAACUCUGAUGGAAGUUCGUAGCGAUA